AGUGGCGCACGGGUGAGUAACGCGUAGGUGAUAUGCCUGUUAGUGGGGGACAACAGUUGGAAACGACUGCUAAUACCGCAUAAGCUUGGUGAAAUUGGAAAAACCAAGGAAAGGGGGCUUCGGCUCUCGCUAAUAGAUUGGCCUGCGUAGCAUUAGCUUGUUGGUGGGGUAAUGGCCUACCAAGGCUACGAUGCUUAACUGGUCUGAGAGGAUGAUCAGUCACACUGGAACUGAGACACGGUCCAGACUCC
This 251-nucleotide ribosomal RNA is filed under the name uncultured bacterium. RNAcentral's name for it is "partial 16S ribosomal RNA". It matches the Rfam family "Bacterial small subunit ribosomal RNA", at positions 94 to 339 of the family's 1533-position model. The record is from RNAcentral.